This 375-nucleotide ribosomal RNA is filed under the name uncultured bacterium. Its description in RNAcentral is "bacterial SSU rRNA". It matches the Rfam family "Bacterial small subunit ribosomal RNA", at positions 28 to 404 of the family's 1533-position model. The record is from RNAcentral.
GACGAACGCUGGCGGCGUGCUUAACACAUGCAAGUCGAGCGGUAAGGCCCUUUCGGGGGUACACGAGCGGCGAACGGGUGAGUAACACGUGGGUGACCUGCCCUCAGCUCUGGGAUAAGCCUGGGAAACCGGGUCUAAUACCGGAUAUGACUCCAUGACGCAUGUUGUGGGGUGGAAAGCCUUGUGCGGCUGAGGAUGGGCCCGCGGCCUAUCAGCUUGUUGGUGGGGUGAUGGCCUACCAAGGCGACGACGGUAGCCGGCCUGAGAGGGCGACCGGCCACACUGGGACUGAGACACGGCCCAGACUCCUACGGGAGGCAGCAGGUGGGGAAUCUUGCGCAAUGGGCGAAAGCCUGACGCAGCGACGCCGCGUGA